UGGGAAGUGGCUCAGUGGCAGAGCACUUGCCUAGCAAGAGUAAAGCCCUGGGUUUCAUUCCCAGCACCACAC
RNAcentral lists this transfer RNA (72 nucleotides) under Ictidomys tridecemlineatus (thirteen-lined ground squirrel). Its description in RNAcentral is "Spermophilus tridecemlineatus (thirteen-lined ground squirrel) tRNA". It matches the Rfam family "tRNA". From Rfam's summary of the family: Transfer RNA (tRNA) molecules are approximately 80 nucleotides in length. Lineage: Eukaryota; Metazoa; Chordata; Mammalia; Rodentia; Sciuridae. The record is from Rfam by way of RNAcentral.